Molecule: unclassified non-coding RNA, 336 nt
Filed under: soil metagenome
Description: partial contains 5.8S ribosomal RNA, internal transcribed spacer 2, and large subunit ribosomal RNA
Rfam family: 5.8S ribosomal RNA (bases 1-120)
Source: RNAcentral
GAUGAAGAACGCAGCGAAAUGCGAUAAGUAAUGUGAAUUGCAGAAUUCAGUGAAUCAUCGAAUCUUUGAACGCACAUUGCGCCCGCCAGUAUUCUGGCGGGCAUGCCUGUUCGAGCGUCAUUUCAACCAUCAAGCCCCAGGCUUGUGUUAGGGACCUGCGGCUGCCGCAGGCCCUGAAAACCAGUGGCGGGCUCGCUGUCACACCGGGCGUAGUAGAUUUUAUCUCGCUCAGGGCGUGCUGCGGGUUCCGGCCGUUAAAAAGCCUUUUUUACCCAAGGUUGACCUCGGAUCAGGUAGGAAGACCCGCUGAACUUAAGCAUAUCAAUAAGCGGAGGA